AUGGAACGAAAAGACAAAGUGCUGUAUCACACCCCAUGUCUUAACUUCCCUGACAGCCAGCUGCAGCUGAUCAGUGCCAGUAAACUGCAUAUACUCCAACAUCAGAGCUUCAAAUUGUCAGGCUCCCAGUUCUUCCACCUACCUUGCCUUGUCAUCCCAAGGUCAGCUGUUGAAUGAAAAAUAUUCUGUACCAUUUUCUGAGCUUUAAGAAAAAAGGAAAUUGAAGGAUGUGGAACAGAGUGUAUGCUCAGAAUUAAGUUCCAUCUAUUUAUUGAAUGAAUACUUGUCUAAUGGCUUUCUGGUCAGCUACCUAGGAGUCAUGGGAAGGGACCUUCCUGCCCCUCACCUUUCUGGAGCACCUGGGAUGUGCAGUACAGGCUCCCAGCCCACUGGAGGUUCCUGCAGCAUACUCAAGUCUGAUGGAUGCCCUUCCUCUGUGAGCAGAGUCUCUUGUGCUGAGUCAGGUCAUGCUUGCAUGGCUGUGCUGAAGGGGAUGGAUGAUUCUUCAGGGCAGAAAGUGCAAAGAGUGGCUUGUGCUGUAUACAAAAUUCUGCAAGGUAUGAUAACCUCCCUUUUUUUCUGGUUGUAGCUCAAUUCCUUCAACUGUGAAAUCUAAUUUCUCCUGGGAAGAAAAUAAAAAGCCAUGUGGAAUCA
RNAcentral lists this long non-coding RNA (654 nucleotides) under Cyanistes caeruleus (blue tit). Its description in RNAcentral is "lncRNA (ENSCCEG00000006864.1)". The record is from RNAcentral. Lineage: Eukaryota; Metazoa; Chordata; Aves; Passeriformes; Paridae.